UACGAGGGGGGCGAGCGUUGUUCGGAAUUAUUGGGCGUAAAGGGUGCGCAGGCGGCCGUGUGUGUGAGGCGUGAAAGCCCGGGGCUCAACCCCGGAAUUGCACCUCAAACUACAUGGCUAGAGCAUUGGAGAGGGUAGCGGAAUUCCUGGUGUAGCGGUGAAAUGCGUAGAUAUCAGGAGGAACACCUGCGGUGUAGACGGCUUUCUGGACCAUUGCUGACGCUGAGACACGAAAGCGUGGGUAGCAAACAGG
Molecule: ribosomal RNA, 253 nt
Filed under: uncultured bacterium
Lineage: Bacteria
Description: partial 16S ribosomal RNA
Rfam family: Bacterial small subunit ribosomal RNA
Source: RNAcentral